RNAcentral lists this ribosomal RNA (423 nucleotides) under uncultured bacterium. RNAcentral describes it as "partial 16S ribosomal RNA". It matches the Rfam family "Bacterial small subunit ribosomal RNA", at positions 361 to 776 of the family's 1533-position model. The record is from RNAcentral.
AUAUUGGACAAGUGGGUGAACGCUGAUCCAGCCAUCCCGCGUGUGUCAAGAAGGUAAUCGGAUUGUAAAGCACUUUAAGUUGGGAGGAAGAGUUGUAGGCUAAUACCUUGCAAUUUUGACGUUACCAACAGAAUAAGCACUGGCUAACUUCAUGCCAGCAGCCGCGGUAAUACGAAGGGUGCAAGCGUUAAGCGGAAUUACUGGGCGUAAAACGCUCGUAGGUGGUUCGUUAAGUUGGAAGUGAAAGCCCCGGGCUUAACCUGGGAAUUGCUUUCAAAACUGACGAGCUAGAGUACGGUAGAGGGUAGUGGAAUUUCCUGUGUAGCGGUGAAAUGCGUAGAUAUAGGAAGGAACAUCAGUGGCGAAGGCGACUACCUGGACUGAUACUGACACUGAGGUGCGAAAGCGUGGGGAGCAAACAGG